UGAAUGAUCCAUUGCACUAAUCAGGUUUAGCAGAGAUUACUUGGUAUAUUUACCAACAUCAAAAAUGGGAAGGGGCUAAUUCAAAAAACUGCCUGGUCACGUGACAAGACCAGUGUCUUAUAACGUGCAUCCAAGGGUCUCUACACCUGGUGGGAUAAGCAAGGGAUUGGUAGCAAACAGACGGGACACUGACCAGACAAGAACCUUACUCCAAGUGGAAUGAUCCUUGUGGUGUGAGGAUGUUAUGGAAGUGUGUUCAUGGAGUUCAGCAGGAUUGUGGGCAAGACCUUCAAGCAGGAAUUCUAUGAGAGCAUGGAUCGGCACAAUCCUUGUC
This is a long non-coding RNA of Etheostoma spectabile (orangethroat darter), 334 nucleotides long. RefSeq lists it as uncharacterized. The record is from RefSeq and is a predicted model, not a curated record. The transcript has 3 exons. NCBI's taxonomy places the organism in Eukaryota, Metazoa, Chordata, Actinopteri, Perciformes, Percidae.